UCGGGAAUUUUGGGCAAUGGGGGAAACCCUGACCCAGCAACGCCGCGUGAAGGAUGAAGUAUUUCGGUAUGUAAACUUCGAAAGAAUAGGAAGAAUAAAUGACGGUACUAUUUAUAAGGUCCGGCUAACUACGUGCCAGCAGCCGCGGUAAUACGUAGGUCCCAAGCGUUGUUCGGAUUUACUGGGCGUAAAGAGUCUGUAGGCGGUGGGGUAAGUCAGAUGUGAAAUCCCGGGGCUCAACCCCGGAACUGCAUCCGAUACUGCCUUACUUGAGGGUCGGAGGGGAGUCUGGAAUUCUCGGUGUAGCAGUGAAAUGCGUAGAUAUCGAGAGGAACACUAGUGGCGAAGGCGAGACUCUGGACGACAACUGACGCUGAGAGACGAAGGCCAGGGGAGCGAAAAGGAUUAGAUACCCACGUAGUCCCUGAGCGGGCUGGCAAGGCGCAU
This 447-nucleotide ribosomal RNA is filed under the name uncultured bacterium. Its description in RNAcentral is "bacterial SSU rRNA". It matches the Rfam family "Bacterial small subunit ribosomal RNA", at positions 355 to 825 of the family's 1533-position model. The record is from RNAcentral.